AGCAGCCGCGGUAAUUCCAGCUCCAAUAGCGUAUAUUAAAGUUGUUGCAGUUAGAAAGCUCGUAGUUGAAUUUCGGGGUCUGUCCAUUGGUCGGGCUUCACGGUCCGUACUGGUGAGAUGGGUUCCUACCUUCUGAAUAACCAGCAUGCCAUUUAGUUGGUGCGUUGGGGAAGCAGAGCUAUUACCUUGAAAAAUUAGAGUGCUUAAAGCAGGCUAGUGCUUGAAUAGAUUAGCAUGGAAUAAUAAAAUAGGACGGCAUGGUUCUAUUUUGUUGGUUUCUAGGAUCACCGUAAUGAUUAAUAGGGAUAGUUGGGGGCAUUAGUAUUCAAUUGUCAGAGGUGAAAUUCUUGGAUUUAUUGAAGACUAACUUCUGCGAAAGCAUUUGCCAAGGAUGUUUUCAUUAAUCAAGAACGAAAGUUAGGGGAUCGAAGACGAUCAGAUACCGUCGUAGUCUUAACCAUAAACUAUGCCGACUAGGGAUCGGAUGAUGUUAAUUUUUAAUGA
This 504-nucleotide ribosomal RNA is filed under the name uncultured Acaulospora. RNAcentral describes it as "SSU rRNA". It matches the Rfam family "Eukaryotic small subunit ribosomal RNA", at positions 569 to 1074 of the family's 1831-position model. The record is from RNAcentral. Lineage: Eukaryota; Fungi; Glomeromycota; Glomeromycetes; Diversisporales; Acaulosporaceae.